RNAcentral lists this ribosomal RNA (300 nucleotides) under uncultured Enterococcus sp. RNAcentral describes it as "bacterial SSU rRNA". It matches the Rfam family "Bacterial small subunit ribosomal RNA", at positions 496 to 795 of the family's 1533-position model. The record is from RNAcentral. Lineage: Bacteria; Bacillati; Bacillota; Bacilli; Lactobacillales; Enterococcaceae.
GCGACGUACUGGCCAGCGGGCGUGUUAGUAAGGAGGUGCCAAGUGUUAUGCGGAAGCAUGGGGUUUAAAGGGUCCGUAGGCGGCCUUAUAAGUCAGCGGUGAAAGUGUUUGGCUUAACCAAAAAAUUGCCAUUGAUACUGUAGGGCUUGAAUAUUUGUGAAGUAACUAGAAUAUGUAGUGUAGCGGUGAAAUGCUUAGAUAUUACAUGGAAUACCAAUUGCGAAGGCAGGUUACUAACAAAUGAUUGACGCUGAUGGACGAAAGCGUGGGUAGCGAACAGGAUUAGAUACCCGAGUAGUC